AAUCAACGCUGGCGGCGUGCCUAACACAUGCAAGUCGAGCGAGAAAGUGGGAGCAAUCCCAUGAGUACAGCGGUGACCGGGUGAGUAACACGUGACUAACCUACCCUUGAGUGGGGAAUAACUCCGGGAAACCGGAGCUAAUACCGCAUAACACCGUAAGGUCAAAGGAGCAAUUCGCUUAAGGAGGGGGUCGCGGUUGAUUAGCUAGUUGGUGGGGUAAUGGCCCACCAAGGCGAUGAUCAANAGCCGGCCUGAGAGGCGCACGGCCACACUGGAACUGAAACACGGUCCAGACUCCUACGGGAGGCAGCAGUGGGGAAUUUUGCGCAAUGGGGGAAACCCUGACGCAGCAACGACCGCGUGAAGGAUGAAGGUCUUUGGAUGUAAACUU
Molecule: ribosomal RNA, 391 nt
Filed under: uncultured bacterium
Lineage: Bacteria
Description: bacterial SSU rRNA
Rfam family: Bacterial small subunit ribosomal RNA
Source: RNAcentral